RNAcentral lists this ribosomal RNA (492 nucleotides) under uncultured bacterium. RNAcentral describes it as "partial 16S ribosomal RNA". It matches the Rfam family "Bacterial small subunit ribosomal RNA", at positions 29 to 507 of the family's 1533-position model. The record is from RNAcentral.
AGUGAACGCUGGCGGUAGGCCUAACACAUGCAAGUCUAACGGCAGCACAGUAAGAGCUUGCUCUUACGGGUGGUGAGUGGCGGACGGGUGAGGAAUACAUCGGAAUCUACUUUUUCGUGGGGGAUAACGUAGGGAAACUUACGCUAAUACCGCAUACGACCUACGGGUGAAAGCAGGGGAUCUUCGGACCUUGCGCGAUUGAAUGAGCCGAUGUCGGAUUAGCUAGUUGGCGGGGUAAAGGCCCACCAAGGCGACGAUCCGUAGCUGGUCUGAGAGGAUGAUGAGCCACACUGGAACUGAGGCACGGUCCAGACUCCUACGGGAGGCAGCAGUGGGGAAUAUUGGACAAUGGGCGCAAGCCUGAUCCAGCCAUACCGCGUGGGUGAAGAAGGCCUUCGGGUUGUAAAGCCCUUUUGUUGGGAAAGAAAAGCAGCAGGUUAAUACCCCACUGUUCUGACGGUACCCAAAGAAUAAGCACCGGCUAACUUCGUG